GUCGAGCGAACGGAUAAGGAGCUUGCUCCUUUGAAGUUAGCGGCGGACGGGUGAGUAACACGUGGGUAACCUACCUAUAAGACUGGAAUAACUUCGGGAAACCGGAGCUAAUGCCGGAUAACAUAUAGAACCGCAUGGUUCUAUAGUGAAAGAUGGUUUUGCUAUCACUUAUAGAUGGACCCGCGCCGUAUUAGCUAGUUGGUAAGGUAAAGGCUUACCAAGGCGACGAUACGUAGCCGACCUGAGAGGGUGAUCGGCCACACUGGAACUGAGACACGGUCCAGACUCCUACGGGAGGCAGCAGUAGGGAAUCUUCCGCAAUGGGCGAAAGCCUGACGGAGCAACGCCGCGUGAGUGAUGAAGGUUUUCGGAUCGUAAAACUCUGUUAUUAGGGAAGAACAAAUGCGUAAGUAACUGUGCGCAUCUUGACGGUACCUAAUCAGAAAGCCACGGCUAACUACGUGCCAGCAGCCGCGGUAAUACGUAGGUGGCAAGCGUUAUCCGGAAUUAUUGGGCGUAAAGCGCGCGUAGGCGGUUUCUUAAGUCUGAUGUGAAAGCCCACGGCUCAACCGUGGAGGGUCAUUGGAAACUGGGAAACUUGAGUGCAGAAGAGGAAAGUGGAAUUCCAUGUGUAGCGGUGAAAUGCGCAGAGAUAUGGAGGAACACCAGUGGCGAAGGCGACUUUCUGGUCUGUAACUGACGCUGAUGUGCGAAAGCGUGGGGAUCAAACAGGAUUAGAUACCCUGGUAGUCCACGCCGUAAACGAUGAGUGCUAAGUGUUAGGGGGUUUCCGCCCCUUAGUGCUGCAGCUAACGCAUUAAGCAC
This 825-nucleotide ribosomal RNA is filed under the name bacterium LGM69. RNAcentral's name for it is "bacterial SSU rRNA". It matches the Rfam family "Bacterial small subunit ribosomal RNA", at positions 61 to 867 of the family's 1533-position model. The record is from RNAcentral.